UUCUCUGGUUGAUCCUGCCGGCGGUCACCGCUCUUGGAAUCCGACUAAGCCAUGCGAGUCGAGAGGGUUCGGCCCUCGGCAUACUGCUCAGUAACACGUGGAUAACCUACCCUAGGAUGGGGGAUAAUCUCGGAAAACUGAGGAUAAUACCCCAUAGGUCUGGGAGGCUGGAAUGCAUCCAGACUGAAAACUCCGGUGUCCUAGGAUGGGUCUGCGGCCUAUCAGGUUGUAGUGAGUGUAAAGGACUCACUAGCCGACAACGGGUACGGGCCAUGGGAGUGGUAGCCCGGAGAUGGAUUCUGAGGCACGAAUCCAGGCCCUACGGGGCGCAGCAGGCGCGAAAACUUCGCAAUGUGCGCAAGCGCGAUGAGGGGAUUCCAAGUGCAUGCACUUAGUGUAUGCUGUUUUCCAGUCUAAAUAGCUGGGAGAGUAAGGGCUGGGUAAGACUGGUGCCAGCCGCCGCGGUAAUACCAGCGGCCCUAGUGGUGAUCGUUAUUAUUGGGCCUAAAGCGUCCGUAGCCGGCUCGGUAAAUCUCUGGGUAAAUCGAUAGGCUUAACCUAUCGAAUUCUGGGGAGACUGCCGGGCUUGGGAUCGGGAGAGGUCGGAGGUACUCCAGGGGUAGGGGUGAAAUCCUGUAAUCCUUGGGGGACCACCGGUGGCGAAGGCGUCCGACCAGAACGAGUCCGACGGUAAGGGACGAAGCCCUGGGGCGCAAACCGGAUUAGAUACCCGGGUAGUCCAGGGUGUAAACGCUGUGCGCUUGGUGUUGGGGGUCCUACGAGGGCAUCCAGUGCCGGAGAGAAGUUGUUAAGCGCACCGCCUGGGGAGUACGGUCGCAAGACUGAAACUUAAAGGAAUUGGCGGG
Molecule: ribosomal RNA, 866 nt
Filed under: uncultured archaeon
Lineage: Archaea
Description: bacterial SSU rRNA
Rfam family: Archaeal small subunit ribosomal RNA
Source: RNAcentral